CCAGUUGAGCCAGAGAUGAGUAGUAUGCUCAUCUCUGGUUGAGCAUCUCCCAGCAUCUCGCUACUUGUCUGUGGACAUAUUAACCCGUAUUCAGAAUUCGCUUUUAUUGUUAAUAACGCGCGUUGACAAUUAUGUGUUAGUGACUUUUAACUAACAGCGACUCGUUACUUACUUUAAGAGCUUGUUCUGAAUACGGGUUAUUGUGUCUUACAAGUAGUGGCAAAAGAAAUACAAGUAAAGGUUGGCUUCGUAUUAACAAACAUUUUCUGCAACCUCCACGUAAGCACAAAUAAUUUAGAGAGGUACAAAGCAAUAAAACAAUUAUAAUAACAGAUCAAAAAUAAUAAAGACGUAUUUCAUUCUCAUGAUUUAUCUACAUAGA
Long non-coding RNA from Cephus cinctus (wheat stem sawfly), 382 nucleotides. RefSeq lists it as uncharacterized. NCBI's taxonomy places the organism in Eukaryota, Metazoa, Arthropoda, Insecta, Hymenoptera, Cephidae. The record is from RefSeq and is a predicted model, not a curated record. The transcript has 2 exons.